UACGGAGGAUGCGAGCGUUAUCCGGAUUUAUUGGGUUUAAAGGGUGCGUAGGCGGGCUUUUAAGUCAGCGGUAAAAAUUCGGGGCUCAACCCCGUCCGGCCGUUGAAACUGGGGGCCUUGAGUGGGCGAGAAGAAGGCGGAAUGCGUGGUGUAGCGGUGAAAUGCAUAGACAUCACGCAGAACCCCGAUUGCGAAGGCAGCCUUCCGGCGCCCUACUGACGCUGAGGCACGAAAGUGCGGGGAUCGAACAGG
RNAcentral lists this ribosomal RNA (252 nucleotides) under uncultured bacterium. RNAcentral describes it as "partial 16S ribosomal RNA". It matches the Rfam family "Bacterial small subunit ribosomal RNA", at positions 524 to 776 of the family's 1533-position model. The record is from RNAcentral.